This is a long non-coding RNA of Salvelinus sp. IW2-2015, 377 nucleotides long. RefSeq lists it as uncharacterized. Lineage: Eukaryota; Metazoa; Chordata; Actinopteri; Salmoniformes; Salmonidae. The record is from RefSeq and is a predicted model, not a curated record.
GCUCUCUGACCUCAAAAACUGGCCCCAGGCUAACAUCACACUGCAGGUAUCUAACAUCUCACUACAGGUGUCGACAGCGGAGGACAACGGUAUCCUGCUGUAUAAUGGGGACAACGACCACAUCGCCGCUAGAGCUGUUCCAGGGCACGUUAGGUCAGCUUACGACCCUGGCAGCCUGCCUGGACAUGCUAUCUACAGUACUGAGACGAUCAACGACGGGUCAGUUCCACACGGUGGAGCUGGUGACCAUUGACCAGAUGGUGAACCUGUCCCAUCGACGGGGGUCUCCCCAACCACCAUGGAUAGCCUGAGGGGGGUCCGGCCCCUCAACGGGAGGCUCCGCUAUACGUGGGGGUAGGGCCCUCUCCAGAACACAC